UACGAAGGGGGCUAGCGUUGCUCGGAAUCACUGGGCGUAAAGCGCACGUAGGUGGGUCGCUAAGUCGGGGGUGAAAUCCUGGAGCUCAACUCCAGAACUGCCUUCGAUACUGGCGAUCUUUGAGUCCGGGAGAGGUGGGUGGAACUGCGAGUGUAGAGGUGAAAUUCGUAGAUAUUCGCAAGAACACCAGUGGCGAAGGCGGCUUACUGGUCCGGUUCUGACGCUGAGGCGCGAAAGCGUGGGGAGCAAACGGG
This 254-nucleotide ribosomal RNA is filed under the name uncultured bacterium. RNAcentral's name for it is "partial 16S ribosomal RNA". It matches the Rfam family "Bacterial small subunit ribosomal RNA", at positions 524 to 776 of the family's 1533-position model. The record is from RNAcentral.